RNAcentral lists this long non-coding RNA (6103 nucleotides) under Amborella trichopoda. Its description in RNAcentral is "long non-coding RNA (ATRI_LNC001966)". Lineage: Eukaryota; Viridiplantae; Streptophyta; Magnoliopsida; Amborellales; Amborellaceae. The record is from RNAcentral.
ACACUCACACUCACACUCACACUCACACUCACACUCACACUCACUCACACACACACUCACAUGCGCACACACACACACACUCACACUCACACUCACACUCACACUCACACUCACACACACACUCACACUCACACUCACACUCACACUCACACACGCUCACACUCACACUCUGUCUCACCCUCACACUCACACUCACACUCACACUCACUCUCACACUCAGACACACACACACUCUCACACUCACACACACGAACACGAACACACACACACACUCACACUCACACUCACACUCACACUCACACUCACACUCAUACACUCACAAACACGUACUCAUACACUCACACACGCUCACUCUCACACAUUCACGCUCAUGCUCACAUUCACACUCAGAUAUAUAGUACACAUACACAUGUUGUGUAUGGACUGAUGUGUGUAUAUAUACUAUGAUAUGUUUAUGCAUUUAUAUAUACAGUUGUUUGCUAUCAGUUAUAUACAAUUAUCAAUGUAUGUAUAUAAUGAUACGUGCACGCACAUGCACCCUUACGCAUUGAUAAGUGCGUAUGUACGGUAUAUGUUUGCACUAAUACAUGCAUACUAUAUAGAUAUAUAUGACCAUAUAGACAUUUAUUAGCACUUUACAUAUAUAUAUAUAUAGUUACGAUAUGUAUAUACUGAUAUGUUUUUGCGUGUAUGUAUAAACUUCCUAUCAGUUAUAUAUACACUGAUAUGCGCCCACACAUGCACCCUUACGCAUUGAUAGGGCAUACGUACAUUCCUAUAUACACUGAUAUGUUUGACCCUAUGAACACUUCUUAUCAGUUUAUACAGCUAUUGGUGUUUAUGUACACUGAUAUGUAUAUACUUACACUCAUGUGCAUAUCUGUAUUGGGUUUAUAUAUACACUAAUAUAUAAGACCAUAUGUGUACUUAUUAUCAGUGAUGUAUAUAAUUAUUAGCUCAAUUUGUGUACGUAUUGAUGUAUAUCAAUAUAUACCAUUCUUUUCAGAGUAUAUAUAUACUGAUGCAUAUAACCAUAUAAUACAUUAGUUAUAAGCUAUAUAUACAAUUAUUAGUAUGUAAAAAUACAUUGAUAUGUGUGUGUGAUGUCUGUAUUUAUAUGAUGUGUAUAUACGGAUUUGUGUGUAUGUGUAAAGUACAUAACUAUAUAUAUACAAUACAUUAAUAUAUACGUUGAUGUAUAUGACCAUACAUACACUUAUUAUUACUAUAUACCUUUAUUAACGUAUAUGUACACUGAUUUAUAUACUACACACACUCACUGUCACACUCACUCUCACCCUCACCCUCACACUCACACUCACACUCACACUCACUCACUCAUACACACACACACUCACACACUUACACUCACUCUCACACUCGCACCAGCACUCUCACUCUCACUCGCACUCACACUGACAUUGACACUUACACACACUCACACUCACAAAUAUAUACACUAUCACUUGUAAUCAAAUAUGCAAUUGCGAAAUUCCUUAUUACUUUGUAAAAAAUUAAGCAUAAGAAUGGGUUUCUUCUCUUGAUGAAAUGGGUAUGUUGAAUACCCUAUUGUGAUAGUCCAUGUAAAUUUUUUAUCUUAUUUGUACUUGUUUUUUAUUAUUAUUGAUGAGCUUCAUCUUCAAAUUGAGUUUUCUUGUAAAUCAACAAGCACGAAAGCAACUUAUCAUAGAGGCGGAUCUCUUUACGUUAUUCGAUAUUUGAGAUCUUGAUAUUGCAAGCUUGAUUUGCUUGAUGGUUCUUUCUUCUUUAUUAUAGUAUUGCACUUGCUUCUUUUAUGCAAAUAUAGUGUGAAUUUUCUAGAGCUUUACUUGUGGCUUGCAAUUUUAUUAAGUAACUUUUUCUUAACACACACUCUUCCUUCUUUCAUGCAAAUAUGGAGUUACUUUUCUGGAGCUUUACUUGUGUUUUUGCAAUUUUAUUAAGGAAAUUUUUCUUUACACACACACAUGCACCACACACACACACACACUCACACUCACACUCACACUCACUCUCACACUCACACUCACACUAAUGUAUAGGAAUGGGUUUAUAUAUACACUAAUGUAUAAGGCCAUGUAUAUACUUAUUAUCAGUGAUAUAUACAGUUAUCAGCUCUAUAUGUUUAUGUAUUGAUGUAUAUAAGCAUAGAAUACAUUAGUUAUCGACUAUAUAUACAAUUACUAGUGUGUGAAAAAUACAUUGAUGUGUGUGUGAUGUUUGUAUAUGUGUAAAGUACAUAACUGUAUAUAUACAGUGUAUUAAUAUUUACUUUUAUGAAAAUACUGUUAAUGGCACAAAUUAAAGCUCAAAGCAUAAUUUUUUACUGAUAAAUAAGAAGCAGAGAGUGUGACUACAGGACCAAGUAAUCAAUAUUUUAUUGUUGAUUGUGUAAACUGUAAACUUACAGGAGCAAGCAAUUGUACAUAUAAGAUUAGUUCCCCAAACUUAAUCCUUCAGCUCUGUUUCCUCAAGAAAAUGAAAAGCCCUCUUCAAACUAUCCCAAAUCAGAGAGAAAAACCCUUUUCAAACUAUCCCAAAUCAGCUUUUCAUCUUCCUAAAUCAGCAUCCCAUCUUCCUUUUCUCUCUCUAAAAAUCAGUUAAGGCCUCUUCCAUUAGGGUUCUUUCUUUUCUCUCUCUAAAAAUCACUUAGGGCGGCCCCUUCCAUUAGGGUUUGUGAAAACUAUUUUCUUCUUCUUUCUUCUUGCUAUAAACCCUAAUGGUUAUGAGCCGAGCCAUAUUUACUUCUCUUCCUUUCCUUCGUCGUUCUUCUUCUUCUCUUUACACAGUAAACAUAGAUGUAAAUCCCAAAUUUAUAUGAACUUCUUCCAACUAAAGAAAUUUAUAAAACUUUAACCAUAGUUAUGGAGUGACCAUAAACACCAUACCAUAAUUAAAUAACUGUCGUGACAACAAAAAUCGUGUGUUUAUUUUUUGGUACCUGCUAAGUAGGAGUUAUGUUUAAGAUUUAAUAAAUAAAUUUAUAGUAUAUUUAUUUGUUUUUGUAUGUAAUAAGUAAGUGUGAUGUUUCUUAAAGUAUUUAAUUGGUAGAUUUAUAUGGUACUUUUUUUGGUAUAUACUAAUUAAUUAUGUAUUUAAUAUUGGAUGAGAGUCACAAGACAUCUAAAUUAAUUGACUUAAUUAUAUUAGUUUAGUAAAGUUUUUAUAGAUGAAUUAGUAAUUGAUGGCCUUGUCAAAAUUUUUAUUUUUUAGAAUUUCAAAAUUUCUAAUAUGAUAAAUUUAUCCGAUUUUUUUACUCUGAUUUUUUUAGCCUAAUCCGAUAUAUUAGCGAUAUCUUUAUAUGAAGUAUUUUUACCAAUCCGUAUUUUUCAUCCAAUUUUUUCAUCUGAUUUUCAAAAUAAAAACGAUUUAUUUUCGAUAUGUAUAUACUGAUAUGUUUAUGCAUGUAUGUAUAAACUUGCUAUCAGUCAUGUACACACUGAUAUGCGCACACACAUGCACCCUUACGUAUUGACAGUGCAUAUAUACAUUUCUAUAUACACUGAUAUAAAUGACCUUAUAGACACUUAUUAUCAGCUUAUACAGUUAUUAGUGUAUAUGUACACUGAAAUGUAUAUACGCACACUCAUAUGCAUAUCUAUAAAAGGUUUAUAUAUACACUAAUGUAUAAGACCCAUGUAUGUACUUAUUAUCAGUGAUAUAAACAGUAUUGAGCUCAAUUUGCCUACGUAUUGAUUUAUAACAAUAUAUACCAUUAUGUUCAAUGUAUAUAUAUUUAUACUGAUGCAGAUAACCAAACAAAACAUUAGCUAUUUGCUUUAUAUACAGUUAUUAGUUUGUAAAAAAUACAUUGAUAUGUAUGUGUGAUGUCUGUAUAUAUACGAUGUGAAUAUACUGAUAUGUGUGUAUGUGUAUGUGCAAAGUGCAUAACUGUAUAUAUACAAAGCAUCAAUAUAUACAUUUCUAUAUACAUUGACAUAUAUGACUAUAUAUACAUUACUUUUCAGUUUAUACUGUUAUUAACGUAUAUGUAUACUGAUUUAUAUGUUACACACUCACUCACACUCACACUCUCCCUUACACUUACACUCACACACUCACUCACAUACACACGCACACACACUCACACACAGUCACUCACAUACACACACACACACACUCACACUCACACUCACACUCACACUCACACUCACUCACACACACUCACACUCACAGAUAUAUAUAUUACACAUAUAUGCAUGUUGUGUAUGGACGGAUGUGUGUAUAUAAACGAUAUGUAUAUACUAAUAUGUUUAUGCCUGUUUUUGCGAUCUUGAUCUUGAAAACUUGAUUUGCUUAAUGGUUCUUUCUUCUUUAAUAUAAUACUUCUUCUUUCAUGCAAAUAAGAAGUGAAUUUUCUUGAGCUUUGCUUGUGGUUUGCAAGUUUAUUAUGUAACUUUUCUUGACACACACACUCUUGCUUCUUUUAUGCAAAUAUGGAGUGAAUUUUUUGGAGCUUUACUUGUUAUUUCCAAUUUCAUUAAGUAACUUUUUCGUAACACACAUGCACACACUCACACUCACACUUACACACACACUCACACGUGCACACACACACUUACACACACACUCACGCUCACACUCACACACACUCACACACACUCACACUCACGAUCACAGUCAGAGUCACACACACUCGCACACUCACACAUUCACACACAUGCACACACACUCACACACACACUCACACUCACAACUCACACUCACACACACUCACAUUCACACGCACACUCACAAACUCACACACUCACUCACACACUCACGCUCACAAUCACUCACACUCACACUCGCUCACACUCACACUCACACUCACACUCACACUCACACUCACACUCACACACACUCACACACGCUCACACAUACUCACACAUUCACACUCACACUCGCACUCACACACACACACUUUCACACUUACACACUCAUACACACUAACACACACUCACACAGACUCACUCAUAACUUACACUCACACUCACAGAUAUAUGCUACACAUAUAUGUGUGUUGUGUAUAGACUGAUGUGUGUAUAUAUACGAUAUGUAUAUACUUAUAUGUUUUUGCGUUUAUGUAUACAAUUGCUUGCUAUCAAUUAUAUAUAGUUAUCAAUGUAUAUAUACACUGAUAUACACACGCACUUGUACCCUUACACGUCGAUAGGUUCAUAUAUACUGUGUAUGUAUACACUAAUACAUACAUUGACACUCACACUCACACUCACACUCACACUGACACUAACACUGACACUCAUACUCACACUCACACUCACAGUCACAGUCACACUGACAUUGACACUGACACUCACACUGACACUCACACUCACACUUACACUCACACUCACACUUACUCACACUCACACUCACACUCACAUUCAUACUAACACUCACUCACACUCACACACACUCACACUCACACUCACAGAUAUAUAUAUUACACAUAUAUGUAUGUUGUGUAUGGACUGAUGUGUGUAUAUAUACGAUAUGUAUAUACUAAUAUGUUUAUGCCUGUUUUUGCGAUCUUGAUCUUGAAAACUUGAUUUGCUUAAUGGUUCUUUCUUUUUUAAUAUAGUACUUCUUCUUUCAUGCAAAUAAGAAGUGAAUUUUCUGGAGCUUUACUUGUCGUUUGCAAUUUUAUUAUGUAACUUUUCUUAACACACACUCUUGCUUCUUUUAUGCAAAUAUGGAGUGAAUUUUUUGGAGCUUUACUUGUUGUUUCCAAUUUCAUUAAGUAACUUUUUCUUAACACACACGCACACACACACACUCACACUCACACGCACACUCACACUCACACUCACACUCACACUCACACGCGCACACACACUCACACUCACACUCACACUCACACUCACAUACACUCACACUCACACACACUUACACUCUCACACAGUCACAGUCACGAUCACAUUCACUAUCAGAGUCACACACACCCUUGCACUCACACAUUCACACACUCACGUGCACACACUUACACUCACAACUCACACACACUCACACACACUCACAACUCACACUGACACUCACACACACUCAACUCACACUCACACUCACACUCACACUCACACACACUCACAUUCACACGCACACUCACAAACUCAUACACUCACAN